UAGAGUUUGAUCCUGGCUCAGAAUGGACGUUGGCGGCGUGGAUUAGGCAUGCAAGUCGAACGAGAACCGACCUUUCGGGGUUGGGGAAAGUGGCAAACGGGGUAGUAAUGUGUCGGUACGUGCCCUCAGGUCGGGGAUAGCCAGGGGAAACUCUGAUUAAUACCCGAUGAUCUCGAGAGAGCAAAGGUCCGCUGCCGGAGGAGCGGCCGACAUGGUAUCAGGUAGUUGGUGAGGUAACGGCCCACCAAGCCUUAGACGCCUAGGGGGCGUGAGAGCGCGACCCCCACCACUGGGACUGAGAUACUGCCCAGACACCUACGGGUGGCUGCAGUCGAGAAUCUUCCGCAAUGGGCGAAAGCCUGACGGAGCGACGCCGCGUGCGGGAUGAAGGCCCUUGGGUUGUAAACCGCUGUCAGGGGGGAUGAAAGCGCAAGCUUGACAGAGCCCCAGAGGAAGCACGGGCUAAGUUCGUGCCAGCAGCCGCGGUAAGACGAACUGUGCGAACGUUAUUCGGAAUCACUGGGCUUACAGGGUGCGUAGGCGGCCUGUUAAGUAGGGUGUGAAAUCCCCCGGCCCAACCGGGGAAUGGCGCUCUAAACUAGCAGGCUUGAGUGAGCUAGGGGUGCACGGAACUUCCAGUGGAGCGGUGAAAUGUGUUGAUAUUGGAAGGAACACCGGAGGCGAAAGCGGUGCACUGGGGCUUAACUGACGCUGAGGCACGAAAGCCAGGGUAGCGAACGGGAUUAGAUACCCCGGUAGUCCUGGCCCGUAACGAUGAGCACUGGGCGGGAGGAGGUUCGCCUCUUCCGGCCGUAGCGAAAGCGUUAAGUGCUCCGCCUGGGGGAGUAU
RNAcentral lists this ribosomal RNA (849 nucleotides) under uncultured bacterium. Its description in RNAcentral is "bacterial SSU rRNA". It matches the Rfam family "Bacterial small subunit ribosomal RNA", at positions 1 to 883 of the family's 1533-position model. The record is from RNAcentral.